Molecule: small RNA, 501 nt
Filed under: Phoma sp. QL26-4
Lineage: Eukaryota; Fungi; Ascomycota; Dothideomycetes; Pleosporales; Didymellaceae
Also listed under: 1 other name
Description: eukaryotic LSU rRNA
Rfam family: 5.8S ribosomal RNA (bases 131-284)
Source: RNAcentral
CGGGCUUUGCCUGCCAUCUCUUACCCAUGUCUUUUGAGUACCUUACGUUUCCUCGGCGGGUCCGCCCGCCGACUGGACAAUUUAAACCACUUGCAGUUGCAAUCAGCGUCUGAAAAAACUUAAUAGUUACAACUUUCAACAACGGAUCUCUUGGUUCUGGCAUCGAUGAAGAACGCAGCGAAAUGCGAUAAGUAGUGUGAAUUGCAGAAUUCAGUGAAUCAUCGAAUCUUUGAACGCACAUUGCGCCCCUUGGUAUUCCAUGGGGCAUGCCUGUUCGAGCGUCAUUUGUACCUUCAAGCCUUGCUUGGUGUUGGGUGUUUGUCUCGCCUCUGCGCGUAGACUCGCCUCAAAACAAUUGGCAGCCGGCGUAUUGAUUUCGGAGCGCAGUACAUCUCGCGCUUUGCACUCAGAACGACGACGUCCAAAAGUACAUUUUUACACUCUUGACCUCGGAUCAGGUAGGGAUACCCGCUGAACUUAAGCAUAUCAAUAAGCGGAGGA